RNAcentral lists this ribosomal RNA (253 nucleotides) under uncultured bacterium. RNAcentral describes it as "partial 16S ribosomal RNA". It matches the Rfam family "Bacterial small subunit ribosomal RNA", at positions 524 to 776 of the family's 1533-position model. The record is from RNAcentral.
UACGUAGGGUGCAAGCGUUGCUCGGAAUCACCGGGCGUAAAGGGUGCGUAGGCGGCCGUGCAAGUCUGGCGUGAAAGCCCCGGGCUCAGCCCGGGAAGUGCGCUCGAAACUGCGCGGCUCGAGUGCCGGAGGGGAGAGUGGAAUUCCUGGUGUAGCGGUGAAAUGCGUAGAUAUCAGGAGGAAUACCGGUGGCGAAAGCGACUCUCUGGACGGCAACUGACGCUGAGGCACGAAAGCGUGGGGAGCAAACAGG